This 252-nucleotide ribosomal RNA is filed under the name uncultured bacterium. RNAcentral describes it as "partial 16S ribosomal RNA". It matches the Rfam family "Bacterial small subunit ribosomal RNA", at positions 524 to 776 of the family's 1533-position model. The record is from RNAcentral.
UACGUAGGGGGCUAGCGUUAUCCGGAUUUACUGGGCUUAAAGGGUGCGUAGGCGGCCUUUCAAGUCGGUGGUUAAAGGCUACGGCUCAACAGUAUUAAGCCGUCGAAACUGGAAGACUUGAGUACAGGAGAGGAAAGUGGAAUUGUCAGUGUAGCGGUGAAAUGCGUAGAUAUUGAGAAGAACACCGGUAGCGAAGGCGGCUUACUGGACUGUUACUGACGCUGAGGCACGAAAGCGUGGGUAGCAAACAGG